This is a long non-coding RNA of Callithrix jacchus (white-tufted-ear marmoset), 3380 nucleotides long. RefSeq lists it as uncharacterized. The record is from RefSeq and is a predicted model, not a curated record. NCBI's taxonomy places the organism in Eukaryota, Metazoa, Chordata, Mammalia, Primates, Cebidae.
GUGAGAGCAAAGUGCUCUCUUGCUCUCUUACACUCUUGUCUUUCUGCUUUCCACCAUAGGAUGACACAGCACAAAAGUCCUGCGGGCUAUUCAGUCUCGGACUUCCCAGCCUCCAAAACUCAGUUUUACUGUGAAGAAUCCAGGGUGAUUUGCCUGCUGGAACUACAUUCAAUUGAUACUCCUUAAAGAAAGAAAACAGAAUCCAGCAGCCAUAUGCAGAAGAUUAAAACUGGACCCCUUCCUUACACCAUAUACGAAAAUUAACCUGAGAUGGAGUCUCAUUCCGUCACCUAGUGGCAUGCUCUUGGCUCACUGCAACCUCUGCUUCCCGGGUGGUGAUUCUCCUGCCUCUGCUUCCCGGGUUCAAGUGAUUCUCCUGCCUCAGCCCCCUGAGUAUCCAGGAUUACAGGAAAUGGUCCCAGGAGGAAAGGCUCUGAGCUCAGCCAAUCCUAGCCCAUGUCCCAUGACUACAAGGAAAGUUUAAAAUGUCAGACAAACACCUUUAAGUAAGCAAACAAGCUUCUGAGAAAAUAAGAGUACUUCACCCUUGGAGGCCAAGAUUGAAGCAGGAGAGCAGAGUUAAAUUAACUAUUGCCACCACUGCACAACCGGGGGGCAUCUAUGAAUCUUCAGGUAUCUCAUAUGGAGUGAAGAGCCAGACCAUCCUGUAUAAAGCCAAGACUCAAGUAGAAUAUGCCCUGAGAAAAAGGUGAACUAGAAGAAAACCCACCCAGCAAUUUCAGACAGCAAACAAAAUUGUAGAGGUAAAAAUAGCAAAAACAACAAUAAAAUUUCCCUGAGAUUUUAUAAUCACAAAUUUGGCCACACAGAGAGAUUUGGGGCCACAAACUGCAGUACUCAUAUGAAUUAAAAAAAAAAGCUCAAGGGAAAUUUCAUUUAAAAGGAAGAGUUUCAGUCCAGGCACAGUGACUCAUACCUAUCAUCUCAGCAGCUUGGGAGGCCAAAGCAGGAGGAUCACUUGAGGACAAGAGUUCAAGACCAGCAUGGGCAAUGUAACAAGACCCCAUCUCUACAAAAACUUUAAAAUUUUUAAACUUCUUUAAAAUUUCAGGAAAAUAUUCUAAGGAAAUCAUCAACUAUUAAGGUAUUUGUCACAGGGUUAUUCAUAAAAUUAACUGUAAACCAGUUAAGCAUCAAACAACAAACUAGUUAAUAAUCACCAUCAUCAUACUAAUGCUUAUUGGCUCCUACCAGUGCCUGGCACUGUGAACCUGGCACAGCAGAAACUCUCUUGACAGGCUCUGCUUAACAAACUCACUGGCUGACCACUGAUCAUUCGUUAUGCAAGUCAAGAGGAACACCCCCGCCUAGGCUGGCCUCUCCCCGGUAGACUUGUUCAUCCUGUCCUUAUAAGUGAGCACUGUGCUCUUUAAAAGUAAGGUGGGCUUUCUUCUGGUGUGAGAAAAACAAUCGUAAAAGGGCAUAUAUGAACAACAAGAGAUCAGAGAGAUCAUGCAAUGAAGAUUGGGGGAAAUAAAUACAUAUAGGACACUGUAUACACAGGGUUUUUUGUUUGCAUGGGACAUACUUAUACUAAAAAAAAUGUGUUGUUUAUCUGACAUUUAAAUGUAACUGGGUGGGCCACGCACAGGUGGCUCAUGCCUGUAAUCUCAGCAUUUUGGGAGGCUGAGACAGAUAGAUCACUUGAGCCCAGGACUUCAAGGCCAGCCUAGGCACCAUAGCAAACCCCCAUCCACCAAAAAUAUAAAAAAGUUAGUUGGGUGCAGUGGCAUUUGCCUGUAGUCCCAGCUACUUGGGAGGCUGAGAUGGGAGAAUCACUAGAGUCCAGGAGGUGGCAGUUUUAGUAAGCUAUGAUUAUGCCACGGCAUUCCAACCUGGGUGACAGAGCAAGACUCUGUCUUAAAAAAAAAAAAAUUAACUGGGUGCCCUGUAUUUUAUCUGCAUCUCUCCUGGUGAUUCUUUUAGAUACUCCUUUCCCAAAGCAUCUUCAAAUACCAGCUUCAUGCACAAGAAGGUGUCUCACCACCACAGUGAACUUUGUGUCCUCCAGACUUCCGUCUGCCAAAAGAAAGACAAGCAUUCUCCUCCUCUAGGACAGGGGGCGGGCCUAUUUCUAACCAAUAGUGAGGGGCUACUCUAAAAGUCAGCCGGAAGAACUGGCUCAGUGGGAGCCUUAGGUCUCCACGAAGUCCAUGAUCCUCCUAAUUGCUCGCUUGAGGCAGCAAAAAGGCAAGGAAAGCCCUGAAGAUAACCCUUACUCACCUGGCAGUUUUGCCCAGGAUUAGCAGGUCCUCACUGGGCCGAGGCAGCUGGCCAGGUUUCCCAUGAACCCCUCCUGUGUUCUCCUGAGCCAAUUCUCCUUAUUGAGCCUUUCAUCUCCUACUCCCCAAUCCCUUUGAAACCCCCACUUCUGGAUAAAUAACCCAUCUUCAAUUGCCCAUGAAGUUGUGUCUACAUCUUUCAAAUGAGUCCAAGUCCAGUUAAACAGGAAAAGGCCUCACCCGGUCAAUUCUCCCCCAGAACGAAAGGUGAGACGUUGUCUGAAUGCGUAGGAGCAUUGCACAGAGCACAUGUGUGUGAAUUUUUCUUUGUCUUGGGAACCGUCUAUUGGGAUGACACAUUUGGAAGUCCCCGUGAAAGGUGAGGUUGCUGCUGCGGUGAGGAAAUAGCCUGUGAUGAGGGGAAGAUUUGAAAGGAGGGUGCCUUACCGGAGCACCUCGUACACGGCAAUGGCUGUCAUGAAAAUGACCCCAAUGUUGCCUCCUCUUGCUGGGAACAAGAGAGGAAUUUCACAUCUCAACCUUUUGAAGGAGUAUCCUUGGGGCUAGUUUGAGAUGCAGGGAGUUUGCAACUUUCAGGAAAACCCACAGGUUUGAGCAGACAUGACAUGAAGGCCCAGAAACUGGAAACUACAUCUUGGAACUUAGUGAUUUGGAGUUUAUUUAACAAUGAUAUGUUAUUUGAUAGUGGAAAAAUUGGAAACAGUCUGAAUGUCCAUAAUAGAGGAUUACUUAAAUAAAUGAGGUGCGUGUGGAUAGAAUUCUCUAUUGCCAUUAAACAUGACAUUGAAGGCCAGUUAAUGAUAUGAAAAGGUAUUUGAUACAUAAUUAGGUGAAAAGUUACAAAAUGUGUGCAAUAAUAAUUCACCAAAAUGUGGACAGUGAUAAUCUCUGAGAGGUAGAAUUACUGAUGAUAUUCUACUUUGUGCAAGAAUUCAUCUACUUUUUUUUAAACAAUGAACAUGGGUUGCUUUGUGGAAAGAAAAGACAUUAUUCUCUACACACUAACAAUCUGUAAAUACUCCAGAACUCUAAGAACCUAGAGUUGUGCUCUUAAUUCAGAUAAAAACCAAGAAACCAAAGGUCUAUUCAAAAUCAAACCACAGCAAGACAACUCAG